This 424-nucleotide ribosomal RNA is filed under the name uncultured bacterium. Its description in RNAcentral is "partial 16S ribosomal RNA". It matches the Rfam family "Bacterial small subunit ribosomal RNA", at positions 360 to 776 of the family's 1533-position model. The record is from RNAcentral.
AAUUUUGGACAAUGGGGGGAACCCUGAUCCAGCCAACCCGCGUGUAUGUUGAACUCCUUUGGGUUGUAAAGUACUUUUGUCUGAGAAUAAAAGUCAUACCAUAAUACGGGAUGCAGCUGAAGGUAGCUGCAGAAUAAGCACCGGCGAACUACGUGCCAGUAGCCGCGGUAAUACGUAGGGUGCAAGCGUUGACCGGAAUUACUGGGCGUAAAGCGUGUGUAGGCGGUUAGGAAAGAAAGAUAUCAAAACCCAGGGCUCAACCUUGGAACUGCAUUUUUAACUGCCGAGCUAGAGUAUGUCAGAGGGAGGUAGAAUUCAACGUGUAGCAGUGAAAUACGUAGAUAUGUGGAGGAAUACCGAUGGCGAAGGCAGCCCCCUGGGAUAAUACUGACGCUCAGACACGAAAGCGUGGGGAGCAAACAGG